RNAcentral lists this long non-coding RNA (216 nucleotides) under Trifolium pratense (red clover). Its description in RNAcentral is "long non-coding RNA (TPRA_LNC008378)". Lineage: Eukaryota; Viridiplantae; Streptophyta; Magnoliopsida; Fabales; Fabaceae. The record is from RNAcentral.
AAACCACUAACACACAAGGGAAAAACGCAUAAAAUCACCCAUGACAACAGAAACAGGUAUGAAACCAAGAUCUAAUCUAAACAGCAUACCAAAACCCAAGCAAGAAAAAUGCAAAAUGGGUACAAAUUGAAAAGCAUAAACCAAGUCAAAGCAAACAACAAGUAAUGAACUUUGGUUUACCUUUGAAGAAAUGGAAACUUGAAGCUUGAAAUAGGC